GGUUGGCUUUCCCUCUUCGCUUUCUUCGUGGCGAUUCGCGUGAAGUAGAGCUUCGAACGAGCUGCUAGCCAUUUUCUGUCGAGGGUUUGCUUUUCCUCUUCUGCAUUUAUUCGUUGUCAUGAAGUAGAGUUCCGAAAGAUUCGAAGCUUCUCCGCUCCUCCUCCUCCUCCUCCUCCUCCGACGUUGUUCCUGUUGGACCGGAAGUCGCGCCGGGAGCUUGCCGCGGAGGAUUUAGCUCAAAUCUUGCCUAUAUUCUGGCCUAAAUCCUGCAUCCAAACAGGCCCUCAGUUUGACAACUCUCUAUCAUCCUUUCGCUUUUGGAAACCCGAUGCUUCUGCGGCGGGCUUCAUCUCUGGGAGGAUAAGUCAUCAACCCACCAUGUUCGAAGGGGUAGUUAGCCAGGUGCUUGCAGGCUACCUUGGCCGCUAUGUGAAGGGAAUCCAAAAGGAGCAGCUCAAGGUUGGCUUAUGGAACGAGGAAAUUUUGCUGGAGAAAGUAGAGUUGAUUCUUGAAGCUUUUGACUAUCUUCAACUUCCUUUUUCUCUUAAAAAUGGUAUUUACUCUGACUAGUUCCUUAUGUAGCCUUUUGAAUU
Molecule: long non-coding RNA, 593 nt
Organism: Dendrobium catenatum
Lineage: Eukaryota; Viridiplantae; Streptophyta; Magnoliopsida; Asparagales; Orchidaceae
Exons: 3
Source: RefSeq, a predicted model, not a curated record